CCCAGCCCCGGCUGCAGAAGUGCACUCCGCCUCUUGUCCCCGUCUCCUUCUCCAGCCCUUCAGCUUGUGCUGCAGGCACAAGCCUGGCACACAGGCAGUGCAGCCACGGCAGACCUGGAUCCCAUGCAGCCCAGCCUGGCCCACCAUGCAUCAGGGGAACCCAAGGCACUCAUUCUCCUGCCAGCCGACAGAGCACCCCGAAAGGACAGAGAGGAGCCACAGACAUGGAUGCCCUGGGCCCUACCUGUUUGCCCGCUGAGCCCUGCACCAUUCUUGCACCUGGAUGUGUUGGGCAUGGGAAUGCAUCCGACCUGGGGUCAGAAGCACAGGAGGGCACGGGACCUGUCUGUCCACACCCCAGAUGCACACAGCUCUCCCCUGUUGUGUGGUCUCAGGAGCCUUUCAUAGACUAUGGUGGCUGAUGGCAGCAUGGCUCUUAGGGACACCCAUGAGCCACGCUAGGCCUGCCCUUCCUCAGCAUGUCCCCAGACCUUGGAGAGUCUGCCAAGCUGCAGCGAAGCCAGCUCCUGUGAAGUCCCCUGCGUGGAUGGGAGCUACUCCUCUCAGUGACCAGGACAUCUUGCCAAGCAGGAAGCUCCCUUGUUGCAUAAGUGGUGUCCCAGUGGGAGAUUCCCUGACAUCACUGUUCUCUUGC
This 655-nucleotide long non-coding RNA is filed under the name Heterocephalus glaber (naked mole-rat). Its description in RNAcentral is "lncRNA (ENSHGLG00000036135.1)". Lineage: Eukaryota; Metazoa; Chordata; Mammalia; Rodentia; Bathyergidae. The record is from RNAcentral.